GGAGGAAUGGCCUGAUGCUAAUGAUCAGGAAUGGCUGUUUAGCAGUAGUCAUUUGCUGUCAAAAAAGCCCAGCGGUGGUUCUCCCGGGGAUGAUGGAACACGGCAAGUAUGGGCAGAAGCUCUUCGGAUAGAGUCUGCAGACAUUUCAGCACUGCCAUAUGUCAUUCCUUACUGAUUUAUUGCGAAUGAUAGGACUUUCCCUUUCCACAAUUCCCCAACAUGGCUGUUAGCCUCCAGGGAACACCUGGGGAGGUAUGCUGACAUCUGGGUCUUGAUAUUAUCGGUCUGUUACUUCCUAUUCUUUUAUUGGUUGCCCAGC
RNAcentral lists this unclassified non-coding RNA (319 nucleotides) under Hevea brasiliensis (rubber tree). The record is from RNAcentral. Lineage: Eukaryota; Viridiplantae; Streptophyta; Magnoliopsida; Malpighiales; Euphorbiaceae.